UACGUAGGGGGCAAGCGUUGUCCGGAAUCAUUGGGCGUAAAGAGCGUGUAGGCGGCCAGAUAAGUCCGCUGUGAAAUCUCGAGGCUCAACUUCGAGCUGUCGGUGGAAACUGUCUGGCUAGAGUCCGGAAGAGGAGAAUGGAAUUCCUGGUGUAGCGGUGAAAUGCGCAGAUAUCGGGAGGAACACCGGUAGCGAAGGCAGCACUCUGGGACGUGACUGACGCUGAGACGCGAAAGCGUGGGGAGCAAACAGGG
This 254-nucleotide ribosomal RNA is filed under the name uncultured bacterium. Its description in RNAcentral is "partial 16S ribosomal RNA". It matches the Rfam family "Bacterial small subunit ribosomal RNA", at positions 524 to 777 of the family's 1533-position model. The record is from RNAcentral.